GCAGGUGCAGCACCUACACCGAUGGCUGCUCUUGAGACACAGACAACAUAGGAGAGGACAAGUCCAGAAUUGCUAGACUGAAUCUAUCCAUCUGCUCUGCUCUCGGGACAACAGAGGAGAGGACGAGUCCAGAAUUGCUUGACUGAAUCUAUCCAUCUGCUCAGCUCAGUUCAUGCAGGUCAGGUCACAUCACGGAGGGAUUCCUGCGAAUCUACAUACAACUUCAAUUAAUUUAUUAUUAGUACUAGGUGGGUGUGAGAAAACUGAAAUUUUUAGAUGCAUGCUUGCUUGGAUGCGUGUCACACAACACUGUUUGCUCGUCUCAACUCUGUGUUUUUGCUUCUGUACCAACAUCUUCUCAACUUUGUGUUCUAUUUAUGGAAAUUGUAGAGGCUAGAGACAUAGCAAUCGUCAGGCUUCAGUUUUGUACUGACCACUCCAAGGCUUGUUCAACCUGGUGAAUCUUUCCUUCAUCUGCAUCAUUUUUCGCUUCAGUCUGUACAUCCUCGCCCUCCGCACAUCCUCGCCCUCCGCCCACCGAUCCUAUUCUCCGCCGCCCGCCUUCCUCUGCUCCUCCUCUGCCGCCGCCGAUCUCAU
RNAcentral lists this long non-coding RNA (597 nucleotides) under Triticum aestivum (bread wheat). Its description in RNAcentral is "long non-coding RNA (TAES_LNC027527)". The record is from RNAcentral. Lineage: Eukaryota; Viridiplantae; Streptophyta; Magnoliopsida; Poales; Poaceae.